Molecule: long non-coding RNA, 3740 nt
Organism: Bombus terrestris (buff-tailed bumblebee)
Lineage: Eukaryota; Metazoa; Arthropoda; Insecta; Hymenoptera; Apidae
Exons: 2
Source: RefSeq, a predicted model, not a curated record
GGGCGUUCCUUCUCACUUACGCCUAUGUUCGUUUAAAAUCACUAGCGCAAGAAAUAUUAACUUUCGCAAAUGAUUGAUGUAUUACGCUUUCGUGUUUCAUGCUCGUUAUUUCGUAAUAACGCGAUUAUUGGUCUUUCUUACUCAUUAUUUCCCGGUGAACAUCGGCGUCAGCUUUCCUGGAACGAUUUCUGAAAUCAUUUAAACAAGUCGAUUCCGCAUCGUUUAUCCUUCUUUGAAUUUCCUUCGUUUAUUGGUUCAAAAUUAAUCUCAAAAUUAAAGAAAAAUUCAAAAUUGUUGUACACGUAAGUAUGUAUGUCGUCGAAUGUGUAACGUUUUUCGAAAUAAUCCUAAUGAACGAUCAUCGAUAAAUGAAGGCUAGGAAGACGAAGAAGACGAUAUUUUACACUUGUACAACAGUUUCAAAAUGCGGUACACUCGUAUCGCUAUUAAUCUUACGAUUAAUCUUACGUUACUAAAAUUGUUCUUUUAUCUGAUUUUAAUGUUAAAGAUGUAUUUUACCGCCCUUUUCGUAGCUUAAAAAUCAGUGCUUCUUACGAUAUUGAGCGUAUUAAAAUGUUCAAUCGUCGUCAACGGUUAUACAAUACCUUCUUUUUGGCCUGUGCAAAAUUUUGUUACUUAUAUUUGUCAACUUAAUAAAUCCUUUCUAUCUUUAGCUGCGAAUUUUAUAUAAUUAACGGAAUAAAAUAUUAAAAUAGUUGAAAUUACUAAAAUUAUCUGCUUAUCGUGUGCUUUCCCUGUAAUCUUCAAACGUGAUAUCGUUAUAUUCUAAUUCUUGUAAAUCGUAGCCUCGCGAGACGAUUUGAAUAAGCGGAAGGACGAAAUCAUCGUUUUUGGUAAUCCUAGCGAUCCAUGGCCGUGUUCCAAAUCCUUGACUUCUCGCGGACGCACUCAGAUACGUGCAAGAAAACGGAGUCAAGAACGUAAGUAGCAGCCAGCGACGUAUGUGAACACAUUCGUUUUACCGGUUGUCUACCUGUUCUGGGUCAGUCGCGUGUGCAAGGUCAGAUCCCAAGAAUCUCCAACGUCACUCGUCAAAGCCGAAGACCGCGGUUCUCGCGUACCGUCUACAGUAGAAUGGUCGUCAUUUUUACCUUCGAUUCGACGACUCACCGCGAGAAAUAUACGCGUAUACUUCCUACCGGCAUUGAUGAAUCCGAUUUUUCUUCCAUUCCAUGGCUAUCGCAUUGAACGAUUUUCAUUUCAAUCUCCUAUAUUAUACUAAACUGAAAUUCGCCUAAAUUUGUCUCUUGAAAAAUUUCACUUUGCUACUUCACUUGCUUAAAUUUGUAACUUAAACAAUAGUAAUAUUAACCUAAACGCUAAAGUAUAAUCUAUAAAGCUUACAAACUUUAUGCGACUUUUAAGACACUUUCAGUGUGUAAUUUUAUUGUCGAGCGACAACAAAAGCCCGCGAAACAUUAUAUAGAUAGACAGUAAGAUACAAGCAUCACGAAAAACAAUCGAGUUGUAAGAACCUAAGCGACUUUAUUCCACUACAUUCAACGAUUAUCUUAUCCGCAUCACUGAAGACAAAAACAUUAUAUUUCUAUAGAUAUUGUCAACUCUUGUUCCUUUAUUACCUUUCGCUUUUGCGAAUGUAUCACAUUGUAUAUUGUAUCUAAUUGCAGAAAGAUUAUAUCUCUAAUUGUUCAAAAGAAAAUUGUUCUAGAAACCUAAAACAUAAUAUUAUACCAUAAAUGACUAUUACUACAAAGUCCAAGUCUACAACUUGCAAAAAUAAAGGAUAAGAAUAAAUGACGAAAGUAGAUAAACUGAUUGCAAUAGCAACUAUAUAUACUCGUAUAUAUAUAUAUGUAAACAAGAAAAUUAUGCGUUAUUGUAAAUGCCUAUUGUAAAUAACGAAAGUAUUAUACGAAUAGGCGAUGAAUGAAUGACAACGUACUCUGACUAAGAAAUGAAUCGUUUUCUAGUGUAAAGCCGAUAUGUAGCUUGAAUCAUCGCCGAAUUUUUAAUCAGAGUUUCAGUCGCGCAUACGUGAAUAACAAGUCCUACGAUCUUUGCACACCAACUAACUAUUAUCGUUUUCAUUAUCGUUAACUGCUAAGACCGAAGCGACGUCACUGUUUCUCGAUCUGACGAGCCAUAAGUCAACACUAAAUAUAGUGAUCGCGUAUUAUUGCGCGUUUCUGGCCGGAUUCUUUGCAUGUUUAACCGUUGUUGUUGCAUGUUAAAUGUAGAAAUUAAUCGCGAGCAUAGUUACCUCUUACUCGAGAAUAAUUGCCAACUGUCGUCAUAUUAUUGAUAUUUUCACUAUCGUCGAAUACUGUUCCAAUAAAUCAGUCACGUAUUUAUUUAUUUAUCAUCAACGUAUCGCUUCAUUUCAUUCGUUUCAUUCAUUUCAUCAUAAAGUUGUGCGAAUAUGGAAAUAUUUGCCUCUUUCAAAGAAUCACAUUCCGAUCGAUGAAAUAAGUAUGGAUGAGAAAAUUUUUAUAGCGAAUUAACACGAUUCCAUUUAAGAUCCGAUUACAGUUGUAUAUUAUACCUCGAAAGGAAUUAGAGUAUCAUGAUACGAGAUGAAAUUAUUCACCGAGAAUCUUUCACCUCCUACUUAAGGACAAUUCAAGUAUUACGUAUAAACAGCCACUUGGUUGUACCUUGAGGAGAACAGAAGUACAUAAGAGGGAUCACUUUUGUUCUUACCAAGGAAAAGUGAAGACGAAUCCGUGAAGAAAUGCCCAACUACAGUCAUUUUUUGUCAAGAAUAUUCCUCUUCAACUUCGACUUUCAAAGCGUUUCCUCAAGUUCGACAUUUCUUUCCGUAAAUUUUCGAUUGUGCGAAAGGUGUGUUAUAUAAGGUCUUUGACCUCGUUACGGUGAUUCCCGAUAGUUUCACUGUCUGGACCGAAUGCACGCGGCUAGUCCAAUGAGAAAGAACCUUAAGUACUCUUCUGGGUGGGUGCGUUGAACUUACCGUCGCAUUCCGUAUUGAUUUCGGUGGCACUGCGCGACUGGAGCCAGACGUUACCUACGGCACGUGUCCGUGUAGGGCAGACACGCCCAAUCCGGACUUUCCAUAGAACGAAAUCGGUGAUUCCAUGGAGAUUAAAGAAUGUACAAAAUAUGUCGAUGUUCUCGUGGAAACUGCACCAGACACUUUCACUGAAAACGACGGAUGACUAAAGCGUGGACAUAAUCGGUUAAUCGUUAUGCCGAUGGCACAGCCUUACGCAAGGCCUCGAAGACCUUGAACGGAACCUUAUUUGGUAAGCAAGGUCGAGGCUUUGCGGACCAUUGGGUUUUCAGGCCGCCCACAAUGCACCUCCACCUUACUUGGAUUUAAUUCUUCCUAUUGCGGACCUGCCACGAUAACGAAGAAAGUAAAUAGAGACACGUCGUGUGAUACGACAGGAGCAGCUGGAGCAGCGAAGGUUAAUACUAACGCGUGCUGUUAAAACAUAGUCAUAUAUAAGGCAUUUUACUUACAUUAUCAAUUGCAAAUAUGCAUAUUUCUAUCUGUACUAUAAUUUUCAUCGAAAAGUGUAUAACAUGUAUUUUUAUAUGAACCACGUAGAGGUCGAUCUGCCCAAUCACGGCGAACAAAUUUUGAUAGAGGUUAAUCGUUUGGUUUCUAUGAAACUAAACACUAAUAUGACAAAAAUUAUGAAAUUUUCAAAAAAUACAAUUCAUCGGUUCGGUUUCUGCAUGACUCAUAUAUUCUCUUUGAACUUUGUAUAAUCAAUAAAAAUAAUUUCCAUAGA